ACAGACAAAUAUUGUGGCUUUAACUAUCUUAAUAGCACAUUAUAUGAAAGUAGCGUACCAUCGUUUUAUGGAGACUGUAACGCAAAUAGAAACUAUUUUUGUAUAAAUCAAACAGGUAAACCUUUUCGUAUAUUUAUAUCAUAUCACAAUUUGUUCAAACUAACAUGAUUCAUGUACGUGAAAAUCAACUAAGAAAAUAACAAAGUAAUAAAAAAUGAUUAAUGUAGAUGAUGUAAAAAUUAUUCUUUUAGUUUACAGAUAGAUCUUACAAUAAUAAAUAUAGGAACACGAUUAAAACAUAGAGGUAAUUAGAUUAUUUAUGUGACAUUAUCUUGUAUAUUUUUAUCUUGCACAUGCUUCACAGGAAACUUAGUUGUGUACAACAAUAGUCGAGAAAAUAUUCAUUGUGAUUAUAACAUUUCAUUAACUGACUUGCAAAGCAUGCAGGCAACAAUUAAGCCAGGAUACUAUUGGAAUACGGGGGUAUUGUAUGGGACAGGUAAUACUUGUAUCAAGCUGUUAAAUUACUUUAAAUAAAGCCAUAACAAGAAAACAUUGUUUCGAACAUUUUUUUUUAAUUUUUAGGUUAUUAAAAUGUUAAAUAAUAAAAAGGCUACGAUUAAUCAUAUGCAAAUGUAUGAGAAAGUUGAAUUAUAAGCUACGACAAGGAGCCAUGGCAACCGCCGAUAGGUCUGACAGUGUUUUUAUUGAUAAUAUAAGUUACAUUGACAAAAUGAAUAGCACAACCAAUAAUUCAAAAGUGAUUUAUUUAUUAAUCAAAUGUUUGUAAAUCUUUUCGCCCUAUUUAAUUACUAUAUCAAGCAGUCAUGUGUGUCCUUUUGCAGCUGAAAUAUCUAGUGCAUGGGCGCAUUACAUCGACGGUUAGUAGCAAAGUUAGAGUACCAAUUUAUAAUCGCCUGUCUUAACUACACACAUCUUUCACAUAGGGCUGUUGGUUUCUUUUAGAACAUAUUAGUUGAAAAUUAUAGCUUUGGUACAAAUAAAUCAUUAAAUAAAAAUUAUAUGAUAAUGGUGUUUGUGAACACAAAUUUCCAUUAAAUACAAAAUAAUUUGUAAUAAAUUUCAUAAUAAAUGAUGAAAAAGGUUACUGAAUUUGACCGUAGUGUUGUUGAAUAAUAAUAAGGGAGGAAUAAAAAAAAUUAUUGCGUUCAAAAGUUUUACCCCCACAGAAACAAAAGCCAUCUUAAGAUACUCGUGAUAUGUUUUAUUUUUUAUAAAAAAUCUGUAUUUAUUAAUUUUACAGUUCGAGGUAUAUUAUGUGGAGCCUAUAGAAGUUCAAUUGGAAUGUAUUAUGCUAACUGCACAGAGAAACGCUUUUCGUUAUGUUCAAGCAAUGGGAAUGGACCAAUUAAUAACUUUUGUUUUGAUGGAAUCAACACAACAAUAGCACAGACGACAGUCCGCCAAGAAAUAACUACAGAUAAAACUCAUACAUCAACCAAACAGUCAAUGACAGGAAUGACAACUUCAGUCGAUAAUAAAACAAAAGUAAACAAAAUACAUACACACUUGAAACGAGAGCACACUCAAA
This is a long non-coding RNA of Ruditapes philippinarum (Manila clam), 1552 nucleotides long. RefSeq lists it as uncharacterized. The transcript is spliced from 3 exons. NCBI's taxonomy places the organism in Eukaryota, Metazoa, Mollusca, Bivalvia, Venerida, Veneridae. The record is from RefSeq and is a predicted model, not a curated record.